AGAGUUUGAUCAUGGCUCAGGAUGAACGCUGGCGGCGUGCCUAGUACAUGCAAGUCGAACGAACUUCCGUUAAUUGAUUAUGACGUACUUGUACUGAUUGAUAUUUUAACACGAAGUGAGUGGCGAACGGGUGAGUAACACGUGGGUAACCUGCCCAGAAGUAGGGGAUAACACCUGGAAACAGAUGCUAAUACCGUAUAACAGAGAAAACCGCAUGGUUUUCUUUUAAAAGAUGGCUCUGCUAUCACUUCUGGAUGGACCCGCGGCGUAUUAGCUAGUUGGUGAGGUAAAGGCUCACCAAGGCAGUGAUACGUAGCCGACCUGAGAGGGUAAUCGGCCACAUUGGGACUGAGACACGGCCCAGACUCCUACGGGAGGCAGCAGUAGGGAAUCUUCCACAAUGGACGCAAGUCUGAUGGAGCAACGCCGCGUGAGUGAAGAAGGGCUUCGGCUCGUAAAGCUCUGUUGUUAAAGAAGAACGUGGGUAAGAGUAACUGUUUACCCAGUGACGGUAUUUAACCAGAAAGCCACGGCUAACUACGUGCCAGCGGCCGCGGUAAUACGUAGGUGGCAAGCGUUAUCCGGAUUUAUUGGGCGUAAAGCGAGCGCAGGCGGUCUUUUAAGUCUAAUGUGAAAGCCUUCGGCUCAACCGAAGAAGUGCAUUGGAAACUGGGAGACUUGAGUGCAGAAGAGGACAGUGGAACUCCAUGUGUAGCGGUGAAAUGCGUAGAUAUAUGGAAGAACACCAGUGGCGAAGGCGGCUGUCUGGUCUGCAACUGACGCUGAGGCUCGAAAGCAUGGGUAGCGAACAGGAUUAGAUACCCUGGUAGUCCAUGCCGUAAACGAUGAUUACUAAGUGUUGGAGGGUUUCCGCCCUUCAGUGCUGCAGCUAACGCAUUAAGUAAUCCGCCUGGGGAGUA
RNAcentral lists this ribosomal RNA (920 nucleotides) under uncultured bacterium. Its description in RNAcentral is "bacterial SSU rRNA". It matches the Rfam family "Bacterial small subunit ribosomal RNA", at positions 8 to 882 of the family's 1533-position model. The record is from RNAcentral.